Molecule: long non-coding RNA, 3205 nt
Filed under: Homo sapiens (human)
Lineage: Eukaryota; Metazoa; Chordata; Mammalia; Primates; Hominidae
Description: HSALNT0132226
Source: RNAcentral
AGAUAUUCCUGCUCCAGAGAAGGCAUGAUCAUUACUUCAGAGUUACAGUCCCUUCAUGAAAAUAGGAACCUUGAGAAUCAGUCCUUCCUGGAUGCACCUCGCUGGAAUACCUUUAUGCUCAGAAUGGACCUGAUGUUCAGACCAGGGGCAUUUUAUUGCAUUUCAUAGACGGUUGAGUUGAGAAUAUGUGGCAGAAACGAUCAUUAUCAGGCCACCUUUAGAGGCUAAGAAUGAAUCAGGAAAAUUCAAAACUAUGAUGCUGUCUUUUUUUUUUCCUUUUUAGUUUUUGAGAUGAAGUUUUGCUCUUGUCACCCAGGCUGGAGUAUAGUGGCACGAUCUCUGCUUACUGCAACCGCCACCUUCGAGAUUCAAGUGAUUCUCCUGCCUCAGCCUCCCGAGUAGCUGGGAUUAUAGGCAUGCACCAGCAUGUCUAGCUAACUCUGCAGAGACAGAGUUUCACUAUGUUGGCCAGGUUGGUCUUGAACUCCUGACCUCAGGUGAUCUGCCUGCCUUGGCCUCCCAAAGGGCUGGGAUUACAGGCGUGAGCCACCGCGCUGGCCAAUGCUGUCUUUUCUGAUACUAUUUUUUGUGGUAAUGGAAGAGUGACAAAUGAACUUGGAAAAUGGUCCCUGCUGUACCGAACGUGUCAACAGCAAAGAACGAUUCCCUGUAGUCUGUUUUAGCUUCCAGCACUGCUCAUGGAGCUUCUGAGAGCCCUGCAAUAAAUACCUUUGGAACUAAUGUGAGCAAAAACCAGGAGGCAGAAGCAGGAAUUCAGAACAUCUCCUAGAUGUGGAAGAAGCCUCUGAACUGAAGGGCUUUAGGAAGAAAAACACAACCCGGCCUCUGUGUGCAGUCUCUCAGCAUCCACGCGGCACGUGAACCCUUGGGAACAUUCAUCUCUAUUUUAAAAUAAAUGCUUUAGGUAUCCUCUCCGAUUGUCCUAUAAGGGAGUUUUUACACUACUCAGAUGGGAACUUGGACAAUUCACCGGAUGGCCUCUGCUGAGGGAUGCCCCUUAGGGACACGAUCCUAAUAAGCAAGACCAGGAAGGCUGGGAAGACCAUUUGCAAGCAAGCCAGCCACAUGCUAGGGAAACAAUGUCCCAUUGUGUGACUUGCUCAGCAUUCCAGAAAAUGCCAUCAUCGGAGAGAUGAAUGUGCAUCUGCUGUGGAUAUUGAAAUGCCUUUUAUUACCCGUUUGACUUUCACACAUAAUGUGUCUUUUCUGGGUCAUUUUUUCUUUUCAUAGCGGCAAUUUUUAGACUCAUUUCUUCAAGCCUUAAGGCAGUUUAACACCACUAAAAAUGCAUCAGAGAGUAGAUGGAACUCUCUAGCCUGAGGAAAGAAAGGAAACUAAUAUUUUAUGUGAUUUUUAGAUACUGUGUGUUAGCAAUAGCCCAACAAAGAUCCCUUAAUGACAAUCAAAAUAUAGGAUGGUUCCAGGGUAUAAGCAACAGUAAGCUUGGAGUGAUUGGCAAUUUCCAGCUGUGACUAGCUCUCAGAAGCACCGCAUUGACAAUGAGGUGUGAAUUUUUGUGUGAGGGAAUUUGAUUUAAAUGUUCCAAGUUAUGUUAUAAGUUCAUGUAAACCUGCCAUUUGCUAAACAACAGGACUUUGUCAUGCGAAGUAGAAAAAUUAAAUCCUCACGUUCACCCACCUAUCUAUACAAAGGCAAAAGCUGUUUGCACACUGUGUGAACGUGGAAGAGGGUUUGGAUGCAGCCAGGACUGUGGGGAAUCAUGGCUUGGGAAGGAGCUUUGCCCGCAAGCCCCUCUCCCAUCUUCUUCUCUUUUGUGUCUCCCUGAGAUCCAAGGUGAAAGCCCCUUUGCCUCCUUCCUGACAAUUUAUCAGGGCUUUGAGGAGAGCAACGUCAGUGCCUAUUUUCCACGUGGGCUUAGGAAGCCAGAGGAGACUCUUCGAACUCUAGACCAAAAGGCGUUUUGCGGAUCAUGCUCUUUGCUCUGUAGCUCGAGGGAGGAAACAGUGAGGAGUGUCGGAGGCAGAGACAUGGGAGAAGGAAGCAGAGCUCCAGCAGCCUGCACCACCGCCCCGGCAGCCUGCACCACCGUCCAGCUCACACCUCCAUCAUGCAUCAGCCUCACACAAUAGCAGCAGACAUGAGUUUGUUUUACUUCAUGAACAUGCCCAGGCAGCAGCUGGAGCUAACCAGGUACAGCAUGCAGGGAAGUGACAUAUAUUACUAACCACUCAGGUCAGGGCAGACCUUUGGGGCCUCCACGAUAAGUCAACAAUGGAGGAGGCUGAUUCCCAAAUCACAGAUGAGAACGAGAGACUCAGAGGGCCCUCUGCUCAGCAUCAUGGGAUGCUGGAUUCAAAUGGGCUUUCUUUUUUUGUAACUUGGGAACUUAUCACUUAAAUCCGUGGUUGAUCAGUAAACAAUCCUAAAUACACAGAGACUGUUCGGCAAAUAUUUCCUCCCGGGCUUAUAUCUACACUUGGCAAAACUUUGCAAUUUUUUUUAUUUAUCCUUCACAUCUGGUUGUUUGUAAUUGACCAGCAACCACAGUAUCCAGGCUUAAGGAGCACCACACAAAACAAGAGCCAGGAGGGUGGGCAAGAGAAGAAAACACUGCUAUAAUUCAGGGCACACACAAACACACACACUCACACACACAUGCAUACAUGCAUACCAGUAAUCACAUGAGAUCCAAAAGCAUGUUUACAAGACACUAAAAGAUGUGAAUAUACUUGCACCCUACAGAAGUUGGCACAAUGCAAGCGCUCAGCAAACAUGCCUCAGUUUCCAAGUGCCCCUCUUAGCAGCACACUUCUGCCUGCCUUGUUUGGUGCAAUGGCUCACUCUGUUUCUGUGGCCAUGAAUCCAGAACCCAGGUGCUGAUGCCACCCAGAGCCAGGAGCCCUGCAAGAUAUUGGCCGAUAAAACAGAGCCACCUCACCCAAACGCUGGCUGCACUGAGCCUGCUGAGGCUCUGGCUUCUUCAGCAGACAUAUGGGAUGCCCAAAAUCAGAGGGAAUCAAUGCCCCAGGGGUCAUACUUUGAGAAGGGGACACAGGAACUGAGAGGACUCAUGGUAAACAUCGGGCCCCAGGGGUACACCCAGGCUGUCUAGAGGCACCGGUGAGACAGAGCAUCUCCCUGGGCUGAUUCUGAAGCUGAGCACAGCUUCCCAGCACGUUUGGCAUCUCUGUCUGGUUCCAAUUUCCCUCACUCUCGCUUCACU